UUCAGUCGUAGACUCAUCAAC
Molecule: non-coding RNA, 21 nt
Organism: Caenorhabditis elegans
Lineage: Eukaryota; Metazoa; Nematoda; Chromadorea; Rhabditida; Rhabditidae
Source: Ensembl